UUGGAGGGCAAGUCUGGUGCCAGCAGCCGCGGUAAUUCCAGCUCCAAUAGCGUAUAUUAAAGUUGUUGCAGUUAAAAAGCUCGUAGUUGAAUUUCGGGAUCAGUACGUUGGUCGUGCCUUAGGUACGUACUGGUGUUACUGGUUCCUACCUUCUGACGAACCAUCAUGUCAUUCAUUUGGUGUGGCGGGGAAUCAGGACUGUUACUUUGAAAAAAUUAGAGUGUUUAAAGCAGGCUCGCGCUUGAAUACAUUAGCAUGGAAUAAUGAAAUAGGACGUUGAUCCUAUUUUGUUGGUUUCUAGGAUUGACGUAAUGAUUAAUAGGGAUAGUUGGGGGCAUUAGUAUUCAAUUGUCAGAGGUGAAAUUCUUGGAUUUAUUGAAGACUAACUACUGCGAAAGCAUUUGCCGAGGAUGUUUUCAUUAAUCAAGAACGAAAGUUAGGGGAUCGAAGACGAUCAGAUACCGUCGUAGUCUUAACCAUAAACUAUGCCGACUAGGGAUCGGAUGAUGUUAUUUUUAAUGACUCAUUCGGCGCCUUACGGGAAAC
This 546-nucleotide ribosomal RNA is filed under the name uncultured Glomeromycotina. RNAcentral describes it as "SSU rRNA". It matches the Rfam family "Eukaryotic small subunit ribosomal RNA", at positions 548 to 1098 of the family's 1831-position model. Lineage: Eukaryota; Fungi; Glomeromycota. The record is from RNAcentral.